This 1959-nucleotide long non-coding RNA is filed under the name Pogona vitticeps (central bearded dragon). RNAcentral's name for it is "lncRNA (ENSPVIG00000018816.1)". The record is from RNAcentral. Lineage: Eukaryota; Metazoa; Chordata; Lepidosauria; Squamata; Agamidae.
GCAUUUAAGUGAUGAAUGAUGUUUCUCAAUGAUGUUUUGGAAGAUUCCCUAAAAAUGUCUGGUUUAUAAGGACCCAGUUUGGAGUCAGCUUAAAACAUUUUACAACACUGUCAUCACAUUGCAGGGCACACAUUUUAGUUGUAAAAUAAGGUUAUCCAGCCCCUAUAUUUGCAUUAAAACUCUAAUAACUUUGGAGCAGAAAAUGGGCCUGAAUAGAUAAAUCAUUCCCAACUCGACUUUCCUUUUGUCUUUGGUCUCAACUUCCCUGUGUCUUUAUACUUCCUCUUCCUGCCUGUUUGUAGUCCCUCCUGUCUCUUCCUUCCAUUCUGUUUAUCCAUCCCUUCCUAUCCCUUGCCUCCUUCUCUAUCUUGCACAUGGAGAAAAACCAGACACAAAAGGUUUUGAAAAACUAUCAGCAUCCAUAAUAGAAUAUUGGAGCAAUCCCAGUCUCCAUGUGUGUGGCCAAAGUAUUGGGUCACAAGGUGACAGAAGAGGGUGAGUCAUGGAAACGAGGCAUAUACAAUCAGCCAAAUGUGGAAGAAUUUGCACCAUUCGGAGGGGAGCUAAUGCUAAUUUCUCUGACUUACACAUUCCUGAGAGUUUCCUUGGAGACUGCUUUGUGUUUGAGAGUGAGCUGGUUUCACCUACAAAAGCGGUUUAGCCCGCAGUUACUUGCCCACAUCCAAAUGUGGAAGAAUUUGCACCAUUCGGAGGGGAGCUAAUGCUAAUUUCUCUGACUUACACAUUCCUGAGAGUUUCCUUGGAGACUGCUUUGUGUUUGAGAGUGAGCUGGUUUCACCUACAAAACCAGUGCCAGUGGCCACAACUCCAGUGUUAGCAAGAACUUUGGUGGCAGCAUUGAAACGUCUACUGAAGGUGGCUUCAAGUCAGCUUUUGACCUCACCUCCUUCUGCCAAAAUCUAAGUUGAAACAUCUUGCAGAAAAACCUUGAAACACACUUUAAAAUACAAGAAACAAAUGUGCUUGUUUCUCCACCAAGCUGUCCACCGCAGAACUAUACAGCAAAAAGAAAAAAAAGAUAUAGCCUGCAAGAGCAUUGAGAAAUGAGUAAACCAUUUAAGCCAUAUAUAUAUAUACAGUAUGUAGUGGCUGAUGAUGCACUAACCUGGAUCUGAGUCAGGUGGUCCCUCUGAGCCCUCUACCCACCUGGCAAAGAUCAUUUAAGGAAGAAUUCUGUGCACCCAGUGAAAGUGAAGCUUGAGAGAGCAGCUAAUCUGACUGUUGCACGAAAAAAUACCAGUGAAAGACUUCCAAAGUGCACGUGUAAGGUUGAUGCUCCAAGGAGAGGCAGGCAAAGAGGUACAACUGUAUUUUGAGAGUUUAUCACUUUGACACGGGUAGCAUUUCAAGCUAACAGCAGGUACACAACAAUAUUGCCAUCUCCCGUUCUCAUCACUAUCCCGUUCUCAUCACUAUCCAAACCCCAGUAGGGUGUGUACUUUCAUAGUCAUAUAAAACACUAUCCAGAAAUAUAAUGGGAUUUCUCUCCAUCCCCCAUCUCUUCCUCUUUCUCUGUGUGUAUGGCUGAUUGGCAGAAUUAUCAGCACAAUUGCCUGUGUGUUUCCCCCUGCUAAAUUGUAAUAGCUCUCCUUGCAUACGCAUAGGCAGAGUGGAGGGAUAAGAAGUUAUAUCAUCCACAGUGGUGCCUCGCAAGACAAAUGUCUCUCAGGACAAAAAACUCACAAGACAAAUGGCUUUGGCAAUGUGUGUGUGUGUGUGUUUGAUGACUCACAAGACAAAUGUUCCUAUGGCUGUGCUUUGCAAGAAGAAUGUCAUCCGUUUUUUGUUCCUGCCUCAUGUUUGCUGAUUUUUAAAUGUUUUUCUAUGAUGUUAAAAAAGUUAAAAGUUUUUUGAUUGAAAUUUUUGAAAUCAUCUGCACAAUAUGUAUGGCUUUAAGGAGCACUUAAUAAACCAUUUGUAAACCAAAUUUGACUUUGU